Molecule: ribosomal RNA, 459 nt
Filed under: uncultured bacterium
Lineage: Bacteria
Description: partial 16S ribosomal RNA
Rfam family: Bacterial small subunit ribosomal RNA
Source: RNAcentral
CCUACGGGAGGCAGCAGUGAGGAAUAUUGGUCAAUGGACGAGAGUCUGAACCAGCCAAGUAGCGUGAAGGAUGACUGCCCUAUGGGUUGUAAACUUCUUUUAUAUGGGAAUAAAACAGGGUAUGCAUACCCUCUUGUAUGUACCAUAUGAAUAAGGAUCGGCUAACUCCGUGCCAGCAGCCGCGGUAAUACGGAGGAUCCGAGCGUUAUCCGGAUUUAUUGGGUUUAAAGGGUGCGUAGGCGGAAUGCCAAGUCAGCGGUAAAAUCGCGGGGCUCAACCUCGCUCCGCCGUUGAAACUGGCGUUCUUGAGUGGGCGAGAAGUAUGCGGAAUGCGUGGUGUAGCGGUGAAAUGCAUAGAUAUCACGCAGAACUCCGAUUGCGAAGGCAGCAUACCGGCGCCCAACUGACGCUGAAGCACGAAAGCGUGGGUAUCGAACAGGAUUAGAUACCCGAGUAGUC